UUAGGUGAAACCAAAGAGAGGUGUAUCAUUGUUAAUGGUAAAACUGAGUUAAAUCAUUCCGCCUAAG
Molecule: transfer RNA, 67 nt
Filed under: Incisitermes schwarzi
Lineage: Eukaryota; Metazoa; Arthropoda; Insecta; Blattodea; Kalotermitidae
Description: tRNA-Asn
Source: RNAcentral